Dermatophagoides farinae (American house dust mite) is the source of this 190-nucleotide non-coding RNA. The record is from RefSeq and is a predicted model, not a curated record. NCBI's taxonomy places the organism in Eukaryota, Metazoa, Arthropoda, Arachnida, Sarcoptiformes, Pyroglyphidae.
AAAAAAAAUCUCAAAUUUUUUUUUGUAACGAAAUUCUGUAUUGUUCUAAUUUGGUUGGAAAUUAUUUCAUCAUCAUCGAUGUCAUUGUCGCCGUCAUAGCCAUCUUGUUAUUGUUGUUGUUGUUGUUUGCAAAAGAAUUAUCAUUUCAUCAGAAUUUUUUCAAGAUUUUUUUUUAACUUACUCACACGCA